GCUAUGGAUACCUGAGUCAGUAGAGCAUGAGAUUCUUAAUCUCAGGGUCAUGCGUUCAAACCCCAAGUUGGGCA
Non-coding RNA from Podarcis lilfordi (Lilford's wall lizard), 74 nucleotides. Lineage: Eukaryota; Metazoa; Chordata; Lepidosauria; Squamata; Lacertidae. The record is from the annotation of a GenBank genome assembly.